GGCUCAUCUAAUCCCUCCCUGGCAGCAGAAUCACCAUGAGCUGAGUCUCCAGGUUGACUCUCCUGGUCUCCCAGGCAAACCUCCCCAGCACUGGGGCAGGUCUCCCUUUGGCAAGGGCUGUUUGUUAGCAGCAUGUUAGGGCAUUCCCUUCUCCUAUCAGACCACCGUCUCUGUUCAUCCCCUUCAUACACACUGGGCUUUGGACUGUCUCAUUCCUAGGAGGUUCCUUUCUGUAUGGCCAGCACCAUUUUACACACAUCCCCUUCCCUCAGGCCGCCUUGACCACAGGCUCCCUGUGUUUCCUCCUGGCAUUUUCUCCACAAUUU
RNAcentral lists this long non-coding RNA (326 nucleotides) under Ictidomys tridecemlineatus (thirteen-lined ground squirrel). Its description in RNAcentral is "lncRNA (ENSSTOG00000032428.1)". The record is from RNAcentral. Lineage: Eukaryota; Metazoa; Chordata; Mammalia; Rodentia; Sciuridae.